Gallus gallus (chicken) is the source of this 3325-nucleotide long non-coding RNA. The record is from Ensembl. Lineage: Eukaryota; Metazoa; Chordata; Aves; Galliformes; Phasianidae.
GUGAGGCUUCCCCACAUCCCAGCACAUCCACGAACGUGCCUGUGGGGUGUGCGAGAAACGCUCACAUCCCUGAUGUUCCACCAGGCACAGCUCUCAGUGCAGCAGCAAAGCUCAUUCCUGAUUGCUGUGGCAUUACUGCACUCUCUUCUGUGAGCUCCUUCUGCUCCUGUAGCUCUCCUCCCAUGGCACCCACUGCUCUCCUGUUCCCCCUUGGCUGGGCACUGCAGGCUCACAGUCUCCACCAAGCAUCCGGUGUGCAGUAUUUCCAGAGGAGGUCUAUGGCCAACGUGUUCCUUUCGGGCUGAUUGUGUGCUUUUCUAUGCAGACAGGCAGGCAGGAUUUCGUGCAGCUGUUGCACGUGCUGGGUCUCAUGCUCCGUCCUGCGGCUGUGCCUUAUCUCGUGUGCACUCUCCAUCCUCCCCCUGGUCAGAACGUCCUGGCCCUGCUGUGCUCUGCUCAGCAUCUGUCUGCUGAACGACGACACAGCCGUCACACUGAGCCUGCCUUGUGCUAUCCCUGCAGAUGUUGGAUGAUUUCCUCUGCCACUCUCCCACCCGUAAGCGCCCGGGUGAUUCCCAGCAGCACACAGCUGGCACACAGAGCCAUGCUGACCACGGCAGGGUGCAGCUUCUUGUUGCAGUCCCGUAGCGGUGGGUGGCCGUGCCAAAGGGGGAUCCCACCGCUGCUGCUCUCCAUCCUUCUGCGCUCGUUCUGCACCACCGUGCAUUCCAUCCUUCCUCCUCGUGCUGCGCUGACCAUUUCUCGGGGUCGUUGCAGCAGCUGCUGCAAGUGCUGAUGUUGGAGCAGUUUCUUCCCCACCGCGAGAUCCCUUCCAAGAGGCACUGCCCCUACUGCUGCAACGGCCCCAGUCUGGGACGCCUUUUUGUAAGGAGUUGUGUUGUUUGUUCUGCAGCUGACUUGGAUUUCUUCUCCCACUGUCCCGUGAAGGAGUUGAUUUGCUUCAGUCCAUCCCUGUUCCAUUCCUGGCUCGGGUAUCCCUCGUGGCCAUGCAGCACCGCAGCAGCAAAGCUCCAAUCCCUUCCCCGGUCUCAGUGGGUUCAGUUUGUUCUGUUCUCAUCCACUUACAGAAACAGAAGCUACCAAGCCACCAAACCCUGGGACAGGUAUUUCCCUACAGAAGCAUUCAUGUCCUUCUCCUGGCCCCUUUGGCCAAUUCCCAGCUCUCCAAACUGAGGCGUAUGGCUGCAGCCCUCCCCAUGGCUUCUUUGGGGCAGCUGUGGGGCAGCCUCACCCCGAGAAGGAGAUGCCUUUUCCCCACACGCAGCUGGUUCUACGUCCACAUGAGGUGACAUGCUGUUUCUAUGGCAUGAAAACAUGCUGUUUCUAUGGCAACAUCAGGUGAGGACAUGGGGUCGUGGGUCACAUGGGGGUCCUGCAGGGUCACAGAGUUACGGGGUUAUGUGUGGCUAUGGGUUUAGAUGGGGUUUCGAAUCACAGUGAUAGGGUCAGCUUGGAUGGUAGGGUCAGAUGGGGUGACAUGGAGUUACGGAUCACAUGGGUGGUAUGGUCGGGGUGAGGUGGGGGCAGGAAUCCCAGAGUUAUGGGCCACAUGGCGUCGGGUCAUAGCGUGAUGGGGGCAGGCAGAGUCAGGGAGUCACAGGAUCAUGUGGGGGUAUGGUUCCCCCAGGGCUCUGGGUCACGUGCAGCCAUGGGGUCACGCACAUAGAGGGCGAUGAGGUCAUCUUGGUUUAUGGCUCAUGUGGGGUUACGGCUCAGGGCCCCACCUUUGGGCCACAGGGACACCCAGUCCCCUCUCAGGAUGAAAUGAAACCACUGCAAACUCUGCCCCCUUCCUCUUUUUACCUCAAACCACUCCCCACAUCCUCCCAUACUCUCUAUGUCCCCAUACUACCCCAUACCCCUGUGUCCCACCUGCAGCCCACGUCUUGUCUUCUCCUGAACAGCAUUCUGCUCCUGCAGCCUGUGUUCCCACAUCCCUUAAUGUCCCUAUAUCCACCAAACACACCCCCAGAGAGCCCUAUAGCUCCUCAAGGACCUUCUCAGACUCAGCACAUCUCCCCCACAGACAAGCUGGGCCAUCACAGGCUCCUGCAGUCCCCAGCAGCAGCCCACAUCCCCCUCUGAGCUCCCGCUGAAACCCCUUGUUUUCUUCCUCACACCUCCCUUACCCCCUCAGUCCUCUCCUGGGAUCUCAGAGUCCAACAGUCCGUGACAGGUCCCCCAUUACCAUCCCAGGAUCCCCAUAGCCCACCAACGAAGAACCCCGCAGCAAUCCACAUCUCAGGAUGGGGCUCCAGCUGUGCACCAAUGCGUUCAUUCAAGAGAGGAGAAUGAAUGAGCGUAAAGGGGGGCCUUUCCUCCUGAUGUUGCCCACCGCCUGCGUGUUGGCUGUGCCGUGCCAGCAGCAUUUUGUCCUCGAGCUGUGAGUGCAGGUAUGCGUUCAUACGGGGUUGUGCAGAGGUGGGGCUGAACAUCAGAGCAUGCAUUGCGCUUGGCUGUGUGCACAGUGCUUGCAGGUGAAAGUUUUGCAUCUGUGUGCAUGCACAUGGCAGUGUGCAAGGCUGGAGCAGUGCUCGAGUCUUCAUGCUCGUGGUUGUGCAGAGGGAUGGGGUGCACGCAUGUGAAAAGAUAGCAGGCACUGCAAAGGAAACAGCUCCAUCCCAUCUGGAGCAGUGACAGGUAGGCAGGCACUGGGGAGGGCUGCACGGCAGAGGGACGCCCUCUGAGUGCCACAACAUGGAGCGCUGUCUGCAAGCAGAACAGUGCCGGGAUGGCAGCCUGGUGGUCCUAAGCUGCAGAGAUGCUGCUCUGGACCAACAGCCUGUCAUUUUUUUCUCAGAAAACGCCGUCCUUUUGCUGAACUUUGCUCAUUGUACACCCGUCAUCACAGCAAAAAACGCUCAGUGCUGCCCUGGGAAACUCAGCAAUCUCCACAGCUGUUGCUCUCCAAGUUAGCACGCUCAUGGCCAGGCUGUGUUCCCUGCAGCUCUUUGCACGUGCUUUGCAGACAGUCUGUUUGUGGGCAGUGCAAAGGACUGCUGCCUCCGUUGCAUCACUGGACGGCAGCAUUCGCUGACGGAGCUGUGGCAGUUCUGAGCGAGUGCCGCGAGACCAAUAACGAGGAGGUGGUGCAGCAGCUCUCCGAGUGCCGCUGGACAAAUCAGGCCUUUCGCUACUCUGUGAAUCUAUAAAUUUGACUGGUUUUUAUUGACUACGUUUGAAGGUGGAGUGCUGAGAUGGGCGGCACUCAGCACUGCCCUGUAACGCCGCGCACUGCAGAAGCUGCUGCCUGCUGACGCUCCUCCUCUCAGUCCUUCAGCUGCAGCUUCUGCAUCAUCUCCAC